UACGAAGGGGGCUAGCGUUGUUCGGAAUUACUGGGCGUAAAGCGCACGUAGGCGGAUAUUUAAGUCAGGGGUGAAAUCCCGGGGCUCAACCCCGGAACUGCCUUUGAUACUGGGUAUCUUGAGUGUGGUAGAGGUGAGUGGAAUUGCGAGUGUAGAGGUGAAAUUCGUAGAUAUUCGCAGGAACACCAGUGGCGAAGGCGGCUCACUGGACCACAACUGACGCUGAGGUGCGAAAGCGUGGGGAGCAAACAGG
This 253-nucleotide ribosomal RNA is filed under the name uncultured bacterium. RNAcentral's name for it is "partial 16S ribosomal RNA". It matches the Rfam family "Bacterial small subunit ribosomal RNA", at positions 524 to 776 of the family's 1533-position model. RNAcentral also lists the same sequence under 1 other name. The record is from RNAcentral.